GAUGGGCCCAGCCUCUCAGCCUACAUCUUUCUCCUAUGCUGAAUGCUUCCUUCCCUCGAACAUCAGACUCUGGGUUCUUCAGUUUUGGGACUCAGACUGGCUUUCAGCUUGCAGACAGCCUACUGUGGAACCUUGUGAUCGGGAAAGUGUGGUUAGAAAACUCAGAAAGAUGACAGAAAAAUCAAGAAGCAGACUGAGAAGACUUGGGGUCUUAGAGGCUGAAGAAACUCAGAAGGCCCAAAAUGAAGUUGAACUUAGUUGUUAUGGCCCAAGAACUGACUCUGGGUGGACAGAGGGGUCUCUACAGCCUUGAAAUGUCAUAGUCAUUUACUCCUCCCCAGUUCCCACCCUCCAAAGAGUUCAGAGCUCUGUAAAGAGGGUAGAGGUUCAUCUUGAUUAGUCUCUGAUUUUUAGAGAAAAUAAUCAUUAUCAUGCCAUGUUCUCUGUGAUGGCCACCUCAGAUGGGAUGCAGGUGGUGGAGUAGAGACAGGCUGGUGUACAGGAGAAGUGGAAGAUGGAGUGAUGGAUAAUAGGUGGUUCUAAAGGAUGGAUCCAAGACUAGCUUAGGAUGCAACCACCAUACAAUACUGUUCUCCAUCCAGAAACCUACCAGGGCCAUCAAGCAAAACCUUUGGAAAAGAGAAGGCACAGACAGAACAGUAAAUUAUAAAGAAGCUUGUUUUCUUGCAGUCAGGCUGGGACAAACUUCAGCAAGAAGAAUAGUGAAAUUCAACAAAGACAGAUUUUCCCCACCCACUUCAUGCCAAAGAAGGACAAUCACAUGCCUACCUCUCAGAAACUUUCUCUAGAAGGGGAGAAAAGAAGGGGAAAAGAGAUCCCAAAAUGGAAAACCAUUUCAGCCUGUUCUUUUUUAAAAGCUUUAUUGAAGUAUAAUACGGUGUACCUUUUUUUAAUUUCUUUUUUUUUUUCCGUUGAGACAGAGUCUGACUCUGAUGCUCAGGCUGGAGCAUAGUGGCACGAUCUCAGCUCACUGCAAUCUCCGCCUCCCGGGUUCAAGUGAUCCUCUCACCUCAGCCCCCCAAGUAGCUAGGACUACAAGCGCAUGCCACCACGCCAAGCUAAUUUUUGUAGUAUUAGUAAAGUCGGGGUUUCACCAUGUUGGCCAGGCUGGCCUCGAACUCCUGACCUCAAGUGAUCCACCCACCUCAGCCUCUCAAAGUGUUGGGAUUACAGGUGUGAGCCACCACACCCAGCCUCAGUGUAGCUAAAGUGUAAAAUGUGAUGAGUUUCAACAUAUGUGUGUACCAGUAAAGCCAUCACCACAAUCAAGAUAACAAACAUCCUCAUCAUACGUAAAAUAUCCUGUGCCCCUUUGUAAUCCAUCCCUGCCUCCACUCCCAUCCUCAAAACACCACUGAUGUGCUUUCUGUCACUAUAGAUUAAUUUGUAUUUUGUACAAUUCUUUAUGAAUGGAAUUAUACAGCACCUACUCUGCAUCAAUA
Molecule: long non-coding RNA, 1463 nt
Filed under: Homo sapiens (human)
Lineage: Eukaryota; Metazoa; Chordata; Mammalia; Primates; Hominidae
Description: HSALNT0181322
Source: RNAcentral